UCACCCAACUCAAGCCAAGAUAGUGAUUCAAAAGCCUUGCCACCAGGUGGAGCUCUAAGAUCAAAAAAUAAAUUCCGGCUCCUAAGAUUCCAAAAGUUGGCUUGAAACUCAACAUUCAGAAAACUAAGAUCAUGGCAUUUGGCCCUCUCAAUUCCUGGCAGAUAGAUGGGGAAGAAAUGGAGGUAGUGACAGAUUUUAUUUUCCUGAGCUCCAAGAUCACUGCAGAGGGGGACUGCAGCCAAGAAAUUAAAAGAGGCUUGCUCCUGGGGAGGAAAGCUAUGGCAAAGCUAGACAGAGUACUAAAAAGCAGAGACAUCACCCUGCCAACAAAAGUGCAUAUGGUUAAGGCGAUGGUUUUCCCAGUUGGAAUGGAUGGCUGUGCAAGUUAGACCAUAAGGAAGGCUGAGCCCCAAAGAAUUGAGGCCUUUGAACUCUGGUGCUGGAGAAGACUCCUGCGAGUCCCUUGGACUGCAAGGCGAUCUAACCGGUCAGUCCCAGAGGAAAUCAACCCUGACUGCUCUUUAGAAGGCCAGAUCCUGAAGAGGAAACUCAAAUCCUUUGGCCACCUAAUGAGAAGGACGGACUCCCUGGAGAAGAGCCUGAUGCUGGGAAUGAUGGAGGGCAAAAGAAGAAGGGGACGGCAGAGAAUGAGGUGGCUGGAUGGAGUCACUGAAGCAGUCGGUAUGAGCUUCAAUGGACUCCAGAGGAUGGUAGAGGAUAGGAAGGCCUGGAGGAACUUUGUCCAUGGGGUCGCGAUGGGUCGGACACGACUUCGCAACUAACAACAACAAAGGUUCCUAAGCUUUGAGAUCUACAUGAACUGGUAGAAAAGGAUCGAUUCUCCUCUGCCUGCUGAGGUAGAUGGUAUCUGCAGAAUACCAUGGAACUAUAAUAUAAAAUAUAACAUAUGACACUCUUAAGUCAAGGAUCUGUACUGGCCCCAAAAGAAACCCGUAAAAAAAAAAACCCUUUGAGCAAAAAAUUGUUUGACCCACAAUCAUUCCACGCUCCAGGAAGGAAGCGCCAAUUUGCAUACAGGACACCUUUUCUAGCCCUCACAAGACUUUAAAUUGAGAAGAAUGGGAGAACUUUGCCAAGCUGCUCUGGUCUCCAUUCACCACCAUGGCGAAUUGCUAUGGAGUCCUCGCUGUCCUAAUUUCUUGCUUUGGUGUCUUCUCCCAGGCGCAGGUGAUUCAAAGCGACCCCCUUUCAGUGGGCCUUGCAGGAACAACCGUCAUAACCUGUACCCUGCAAGGCGUGGAGUUUAUCAGCCCCGCGAACCCAUCCUGGUAUCAGCAGAAAGGAGACCAGCCUCCCAAGUUGCUCAUCUACAAAUCCAGGGAAAGGGCCAGCGGGAUUCCCGCCCGUUUCUCUGCCGACACUUACGGCAACAGUGCCAAGUUGACCAUUUCGAGUGUUGAGGAGGGCGACGAAGCGGGUUAUUACUGUGCUGUGUGGCAUAACGAUCAGUUACACACUGUUGCCUUCAGAUGCAGAAGUGAAACAGAAAACAAGAGAGCUGAGCACAAUGAUCUUACUGAACGGGAGAACUGGGACAAAACCUUCUUCAUCAGUGCUCACAAGAGCCUCACUUAG
Ahaetulla prasina is the source of this 1596-nucleotide non-coding RNA. NCBI's taxonomy places the organism in Eukaryota, Metazoa, Chordata, Lepidosauria, Squamata, Colubridae. The record is from the annotation of a RefSeq genome assembly.